Molecule: unclassified non-coding RNA, 1800 nt
Filed under: Dermacentor andersoni
Lineage: Eukaryota; Metazoa; Arthropoda; Arachnida; Ixodida; Ixodidae
Description: uncharacterized LOC126546266
Source: RNAcentral
UAUUUAUUACAUGAUUUCAUCGGCCCGGACAGAAGAAGCACCAGCAGCAGCAGGCAGAGGCCGGGGGCCACCCAGCGACCGCUGAGGCGGCGCUGUCGGGCUACCUGCGGGACGUUGCAACGCCAUGCAGAGCCUGCGUGAGCUCACGGGCCUGGACCCGCGCGAUCUGACCUCGGAGGAGGACCUGGUGCUGGUCAGGUCCCACGAGCCGUGGCCGUCGCUCGAGCCUCUGCCCGACGGGGUCCGCGCCCACCGCGACGGGGCCUACCUGCGCCUCGGUCGAGACUCGCUGGUAGCGGGACUCAAGGCGGGAUACUUGGCCAAGAUCAGCGCCCAGGUCGCGGUGUUUGCGGGCUGUCCCCGCUUCUGCUGCUCGCGUCGCUUCCAGGAGGCAGUGACGCAGCUGUGCUGCCGCGCCACCACCGUGGUGCUGGUGCACAACCUCAACACCCUGUGGGACCUGCUCGCCCUGUUCCCGGCGCUGGACACCCUCUACCUGCUGCACGACCUCGCGGUGCACCAGCAGUGGACGCCACCCGCGGAGGUCGACGGGGUGCCGCACGCUCUAGCCAACGGCGAGUCGGGUGACCACGCUUCGCUGUCACCGGUACAUGCCAGUCUUCGGCUCCUGUACGGGGACUGCGACGCCCUCCGCCUGAACCACCUGUUCCUGGGCACCGGGGCGACCUUAAGCCUGGCACAACAAUGCGCCAACCUGAUCGAGCUGGAGGCCAACAUUGUGGAGCAGGCGACUGGCGCGUCACCAAAGCUUCCAGAGCUCGACGCGGAGGCCGGUGCCCCGCGCCCAUGGAGCAGCCUGGUGCUGGGCUGCGCGCUACCCACGCAAGAGGUGUUCGUGUCGGCGGACAUCGUUCUGGAGGCGGCGAAGCGCUGUCCCGUGCUCCGCCACCUGCAGAUCGUCGCGUCCAACGAGGCGGCCGUCUACAGCGCCGGCGCGUUCCAGGAGCUGCGGUCCCUGUCGGUGCUGUACCGCACCGCCGACGGCUCGCCGCCGAAGAAGUGUCGCUACCGCGCCGUCUCCGCCGUGCUGUCCAAGUUCUCGCUCGAGGCCCUCUGCCUGCGCGCCUUCUCGGCCGUCAGCUUGACCGGGCUGGCCACCAGCUGUGCCCGGCUACGCCGGCUGCAGCUGGUCGACUGCGAGCUGCGCGACCUCGAGCUGCUGGACGACGCGUUCCCACAGCUGGAGGAGCUGGAGGUGAGCUACGUGCCGCCCAAGGGUCUGGUGCGUCUGAUCGCCGCCUGCCCGAACCUGAGGUCGCUGUCGAUCCGGGACCGGGGCGCCUCGUUCGGCUUCCUGCGCGAGGCCUCGUGUCCCAAGGCGGGGCGCCUGGCCAGGCUCGAGCAGGUGGCGCUGAACGCCGACCGGUCGCUGAGGGAGAUGGGCCUCGAGGAGCGCGACCUGCGCAUGACCGUGAACGCGCUGCCUUCGCUGGCUCGCGUCGCCGUCGACUCGUUCGAGGCGCGCCUUUUCCUGGCGGAGUACGCGCCCCGUCUGGAGCUCGACUGGUCGACGUGCUCCGUCUGCGCGGCCAGGUUCCCGCAGUGGAACAGGGAGCACGUGGACCUGUGGGCGCAUGCGCAGAAGUCCCCGGACGGCUAGGACCUCUCGCGGAAGGACGCGGAACUAGAGCGGGAGAAAGGUCCGGACUGGGUCCUGCAGAAUCUGAAUUAUGCUACACCAACUGGACCAAGUUUCUGCCGUAUUGACAUUCUAUACAAGGAGGCAGCGGGGCCGCUGCCUGCGAUGUUUUCUACAAUAAAUCGGUUAUCAGAAGCGCC